AUGAACGUUGGCGGCGUGGAUUAGGCAUGCAAGUCGAGCGAGAACCGGUUUCGGCCGGGGACAGCGGCGAACGGCGUAGUAAUGCAUCGGAACGUACCCUCUGGUCGGGGAUAGCUACGGGAAACUGUAGGUAAUACCCGAUAAUCUCUGUGGAGCAAAGGUGAGAUUCCGCCGGAGGAGCGGCUGAUGUGAUAUUAGCUAGUUGGUGGGGUAAUGGCCUACCAAGGCGAUGAUGUCUAGGGGGUGUGAGAGCAUGGCCCCCACGACCGGAACUGAGAUACUGUCCGGACACCUACGGGUGGCUGCAGUCGAGAAUCUUCCGCAAUGGACGAAAGUCUGACGGAGCGACGCCGCGUGCGGGAUGAAGGCCCUUGGGUUGUAAACCGCUGUCAGAGGGGAUGAAAUCGUCGGAGGUACUCCUCCGAUGUUGACAGAGCCUCAAAGGAAGCACGGGCUAAGUACGU
This 464-nucleotide ribosomal RNA is filed under the name uncultured bacterium. RNAcentral's name for it is "bacterial SSU rRNA". It matches the Rfam family "Bacterial small subunit ribosomal RNA", at positions 29 to 506 of the family's 1533-position model. The record is from RNAcentral.